GCUUCGGUAGCUCAGUUGGUAGAGCAGUAGGCCGGAGACCUACGGCCGCGGGUUCAAAUCCUGCCUGAGGCA
Teleopsis dalmanni is the source of this 72-nucleotide non-coding RNA. NCBI's taxonomy places the organism in Eukaryota, Metazoa, Arthropoda, Insecta, Diptera, Diopsidae. The record is from the annotation of a RefSeq genome assembly.